RNAcentral lists this ribosomal RNA (459 nucleotides) under uncultured bacterium. RNAcentral's name for it is "bacterial SSU rRNA". It matches the Rfam family "Bacterial small subunit ribosomal RNA", at positions 29 to 524 of the family's 1533-position model. The record is from RNAcentral.
AACGAACGCUGGCGGCAUGCCUAACACAUGCAAGUCGAACGGGAUCCUAGCUUGCUAGGUGAGAGUGGCGGACGGGUGAGUAACACGUGGGAAUCUGCCUUUUGGUUCGGGAUAACCGCGGGAAACUGCGGCUAAUACCGAAUGCCCUCGUGAGAGGAAAGAUUUAUCGCCAGAAGAGGAGCCCGCGUCCGAUUAGGUAGUUGGUGGGGUAAAGGCCUACCAAGCCGACGAUCGGUAGCUGGUCUGAGAGGAUGAUCAGCCACACUGGGACUGAGAUACGGCCCAGACUCCUACGGGAGGCAGCAGUGGGGAAUAUUGGACAAUGGGGGCGAACCCUGAUCCAGCAAUGCCGCGUGAGUGAUGAAGGCCUUAGGGUUGUAAAGCUCUUUUGCCAGGGAAGAUGAUGACUGUACCUGGAGAAUAAGCCCCGGCUAACUUCGUGCCAGCAGCCGCGGUAAU